CUGGGCGUAAAGCGAGCGCAGACGGUUACUUAAGCAGGAUGUGAAAUCCCCGGGCUUAACCUGGGAACUGCGUUCUGAACUGGGUGACUAGAGUGUGUCAGAGGGAGGUAGAAUUCCACGUGUAGCAGUGAAAUGCGUAGAGAUGUGGAGGAAUACCGAUGGCGAAGGCAGCCUCCUGGGAUAACACUGACGUUCAUGCUCGAAAGCGUGGGUAGCAAACAGGAUUAGAUACCCUGGUAGUCCACGCCCUAAACGAUGUCAAUUAGCUGUUGGGCAACUUGAUUGCUUAGUAGCGUAGCUAACGCGUGAAAUUGACCGCCUGGGGAGUACGGUCGCAAGAUUAAAACUCAAAGGAAUUGACGGGGACCCGCACAAGCGGUGGAUGAUGUGGAUUAAUUCGAUGCAACGCGAAGAACCUUACCUGGUCUUGACAUGUACGGAAUCCUCCAGAGACGGAGGAGUGCCUUCGGGAGCCGUAACACAGGUGCUGCAUGGCUGUCGUCAGCUCGUGUCGUGAG
Molecule: ribosomal RNA, 518 nt
Filed under: uncultured bacterium
Lineage: Bacteria
Description: bacterial SSU rRNA
Rfam family: Bacterial small subunit ribosomal RNA
Source: RNAcentral